Pangasianodon hypophthalmus (striped catfish) is the source of this 10348-nucleotide long non-coding RNA. RefSeq lists it as uncharacterized. The transcript is spliced from 2 exons. NCBI's taxonomy places the organism in Eukaryota, Metazoa, Chordata, Actinopteri, Siluriformes, Pangasiidae. The record is from RefSeq and is a predicted model, not a curated record.
CCUCCUCAAUAGAUUUAUAUUUCUGUGCCUUUCAAUUCUUUGUCAUUCUGACUCUGAAUCACAUAGAUACAUACAUACAAGAGCACCAGUUUUCAUAACUGCUAACUUGGGAUAUAUUCGCAUAAGUAUAUUGCAUUAGAAGGCCAAUUUAUACUUCUGUGUUAAGAUGUAUUUGCGUCAUGAUCCAGAGAAAGGGGAUCAUGGUUAAACAUGGCACACAGAGACGUGCUAGAGCACAGUUCUCAGUACUUGAACAUAUCAGUAUGUUUACAUGGCACACAACUGAUGUAUAAUGCAAUAUAAAGAAUUCAAACAAGCCAUAUGAAGUUUACAAAUUCCAGAAAAAUAAGUCAAGAUUACAAAAUUACAGAUUCUUUGCAUUAGUGUAACAAAAAUACAAUGCACAAAAUACUACUCACAAAUGAUGCCCGAAGCACAUGAGGAUCAACAGAGAUGAAAAUACUCAAUUACAAGUACGUCAUUUCUUCUAAUAUGCACACAUUGACGUCUAACCCUUAUCAUGUGGCUCCUAACAAAUCAAAAUCAAGGAACAGUUUCUCAUACAUUCAAACACCGCCGUCUAGUGGGCGUAUAAUGUAACAGUUAUUGCAUAUAAUAGAACAGUCACGACAAUAGAAACAGUAAAAAUCUCAGUUUAAAAAUAUUCACUCUAAUUAGUUUCUCAUUGGUGUCUUUAAUAAAAAUUUCUCCUCUGUGAUAAAAUUCUCGCACUGAACAGCUGGUAUAAAUGAACCUGCGUGGGUUUUCCCCCUGCAUUUCAUUUUUGCUUCACAGAUGGCAGUAUGAUCACAUAUAUAUAGGAUUUAUUUAUAGAAAGCUACAAUCAUGAUAUUGUAUUAAUAUAAAUAUAUAACAUGCUAGGCUUUAUACAGGCUGCAGUUCAUUAUAAUGGGCAGUUUAAUGCUGAAGGAUGGCACACUUUGCUUUCUUUCAACAGACUCCCAGUAAACAAACAGUGUAGGUAAUGUAAACCAUAAUGACUCAAUAAAAAUAAAAACUAAAGCAUUGUUAUUUGUGCCCACAGAAGUAUAAAUCAGUCUUCAUACUGUGAUUGCAAAAACAUUAACUAUAAAAUUAGACUAACCCUAUUUGGUGAAGGUGAUUUCUUGAAGUUGGCCAUCCAAUGACAUGGUAUACCUCUUGCACUUCAAAUUACUCAGAUACUUCAGAGUGUGUGAGGAUCAGUUCUAGCAUUAAAUCAGGCAACAGGACUUCACAAACAGCUCAACACUGAGAAAUACAGUUUAUUAGGUAUUCUUUUAAAAUACAGCAUUGUCUGAGAAAUUGUUUAAAAGGGUGUAUGUUGUAAUCAUUGUGCAAGCAGUGACUCUGGCAGGUCUAGCUCUGGCAGUAUAAAUAAAAUGGGGGGCCAGAAUGUAAUAAAGUCAUGAGGAAACCUGGGGCAUCAGCUUCCUGCCACUCCACUAUUAGAAAACCUGGGUGAUCGAGAGAGGUGGAAGAUAAGAUCAACAUACAACAGUUUACAAAAACUCUCUGUGCUCCUGAACCCCAAAAUCUGUCAGGCUACUUAACAAAUUGCCUGACUAAACAAAUAGGUUUUCAACCUAGACUUACAGAUUGAGAUGGUGAGUCCUGAACACAAAUUGACAAGCUAAUCCAUAGUGGUGAAACUUUGUACGAAAAAUCUGUUGAGUUUUCAUUAUUAUAGGUCUUGAUAAUUGAAGCAGCUGUGGAAUAGAUCAAAAAUGGGGGCAGACAAUUCAAUUCUUUUAUAGGGCUUUAGUAGUUUUCUAUAAUAAAGGCUAAAUUUUACUGGAAGCCAAUGUAGUAGAUAAAACAGAGGUAAUAAGAUAAAACUUUCUUGGUCAAGUAUGGACUCUGGCUGCUGCAUUCUGUACUAAGUGGAGCUUGGUUAUGCAGGACAUCACAGUUAUCCAACCUAGAGGUAAUAAAAGAAUGAACUUAAUUUUUCUGCAUCAUGUGACUGCACAAUAUUUCUUCUGAGAUGAGAAAAGGCUGUCCUAGUAAUGUUAUAAGCAUGAGAGACUGGGGACAAUAAUCAUACAAAGGUCUGUUACUUCAGCACAUGAUGUAACUGAAAGGCCAUCAAGCGUUGAUAUUUAAUUAGAAAGCUUACUUCUAGCUGCCUGUGGGCCUGAGGAAAUUAUUAUUUAGAGUCUCUAAUGCCCUUUACAAAUUCCUCUGUCUUCCAGUUUGCCUGCAGGGUACAGCUACUGUGUUUACAUAUAAGUAUUUAUACAUAGUAUUCCAUCUGAAAGUAGUCAUUUGUUUAUGCUACACACUGAAGACCUUUGGGUUUGAGAUCAAAAAAUGAAUAUGAGACAAUAGAUCAGAAUUUCAGCAUUCAUUUCCUGAUAUGUACAUCUAGAUGUGUUAAACAGCUUAGAACAUGGCAUCUUUGGAGGCAGACAACCCAAUUUUUGGUGAGCAAAAGUUUUGGAACAGAUAGUCUUGAAGCAAGUAACCAGGGCUUGAAUUUUGGCGCGGGAUAGCGGGGAUUGCGCAUAAUUUAAACCAUUCCUGCAAGUUUAACUUUUAUAAUGCGAGAAAUUCCCGCACAAAUGUAUUUGCUUCAUCUCAGAUCAAAUUAUGAAAUACAUCAACAGACGCAAAAAAAAGAAAUCACCGGUUCAAACAGUCUGUCUUUAUUUUAGAGUUUAAUUCACAAACAGCGCUGCACCGGCCAUCUCUGACUGUCGCUGAGCGCUGUAGCGCAUCGGCGUGCUCUCCGUGGCCUGCGUCGCACUCAUCUUAUUCACACAAGGCUGUGUGACGCGCUCUAAUAUUCUGAGUCAUAAUGAGCUGCUUGUGAAGAUAGUAUCAGCUUCCAAUUUAUAUUAUUUUAAUCCCGAAAUUCAAACAUUAAAUACUGUUUUGCUCUUUACAGUGUGUGAUCGGACAGAACGCGCCUGCUGACUCAACACAGCAGCAACGAAGCGCGAGUAAAUCAUCAUCUCCCUGUCUUAAAAUGUGCAUUUUAUCCAAAGUUAAUAUGAAUGAACAUAAGACAGUAUGUAAAAAUAGUCUCCUGAAACUGGAGUAUAUGAAAUUCCCUGAUUCUGAAAGGCAUUAAUAUAUAGUUUUAAUACAGUUCUUAAUGUCAGUUUGGAGGAGAGCUUGACAAAUUCUGUUAUUAAGCUGUUUUGAAAACCACCAUACGUUAAACAUAUAAACGUUAAACAUGUAGACAUAAAUAAAUGAAGAUUAUUAAUUUAGCCCGAUGUGUCAAAAUUUAUUCUCUCCCCAAAAUUUUUAAAUCCCCCCCAUGUGACCCAUGUAAAGGGGGAAUUCCCCCCCCAGUUUAAAAAACGAAAUUCAGGCCCUGAAGUAACACUCAUAAUUUAGAAGCAUAUCCCUUGCUUGCAGUAACUGCAUCAAACCGGUGACCCACUGGUAUCAUCACAUUGUUGCUUUCUGCUUUUUUCCAGGCAGCUACUGCAGCUUCUUUCAGUUGUUGUUUGUUUUGGGGAUUUCUCCCUUUAAUUUCCUCUUCAGUAGGUGAAAUGCAUGCUUAACUGGGUGAACUUGGCCAGUCUAAAACCUUCCACUUCUUUCCCCUGAUGAAGUCCUUUGUUGUGUUGGCAGUGUGAUUUGGGUCAUUGUCUUAAAGCAUGAUGAAGUUCCUCCCAAUUGGAUGCAUUUCUCUGUAAAUGGGCAGGCAGAAUGUUUCUGUAGACUUCUGUUUUCAUUCUGCUGCAACCAUCAUGAGCUUCAUCAUCAAAAAAGAGCUCGUUCCAGAAGCAGCCAUGACACCACCUCUACCGUGCUUGACUGAUGAACUUGUAUGUUUUGGGUUGUUAGCAGAUCCUUUCUUUCUCCACGUUUUGGUCUUUCCAUCACUUUGGUAGAGGUUAAUCUUGGUAUCAUCAGUUCACAAAACUCUCCAGAAUUUUUGUGGCUCAUGUCUGUAUUUGUUUGUAAAUUCCAAUCUGGCCUUUCGAUUCUUAUUGCUGAUGAGUGAUGAUAAAGGUUAGCAUCUAUAUUUCUGCUCUUAAAGUCUUCUCCGAACAGUUGAUUGUGAUACUGUUAUGAGCACAGGAACGAGGGGACCCAGAAGCAGAACAUAGACACAGGAAUUCAGUGUAAGCAGUUUAUUGAUGGCUUAAAGAGGUGAGGGUGUGUGGGAGAGGAGCGUGGUAAUUUCAAACUCGGGUCGCCAGCAUGAAAGCUGAGUGCAGAGUCGGUGAACCAUGAGGAAGAUGAGGUGGGGCUGGGCGUAGAAGGAAGUGAGCAGACAGAGAGCUGAGGGUGGGUGAGCAAUCAACCUGGAGCACGAGGAUAGAACACAGAGUGACCACAGGAUAACAACAGGAAAAACACUAGUCAAUAACAUGAAAAAAACACAAGGAAAGGUGGAAUUGUACCGCACUGGUACCCAGAAUGAUCUGGCGGUGAGUGGCUGAAGAACCAGAGUUUAUAUAUGCUGCAGAUUGGGUGAGUUGAUGAGGAGCAGGUGUGAUCAAAGCUGUAUCAGGCUAGGCGCGAAGUGGAGUGUUAUGCCCAGACACACACACACACACACACAUAUACAAACAGAAACGAGAGGGAGAGAAAAUACUGGAAACACAAGGAAGGGGAAAAACAGGGAAACACGGGGAAAUACACGAGAGCUCCAGCCCAGACAAUUAUAGAUACCUCCACCUCUGCCCUGUGAAGGUUGUUGAGGUCAGUGACUCAUAUUUUUGUUUUUUUUCUUCAAAGCUUUCUCAAUGUUUGUCAUUAACUGCUGUUGUUUUUCAUGGCAGACAGUUUAAUGUUUGGUUGUUAGUACAGAAGUGGUUUGUUUCUCUUUCAGUACAUUCCAAAUUGUUGUACUGGCUAAGCCCAAUGCUUGUGCAGUGGCUCUGAUCUGAUUUUUCCUCUUUUCUUAGCUUCAAAAUGGCUUGCUAUUCUCACGUAGACAGCUCUCUGAUCUUCAUGUUGGUUUAUCCUUUUUUUAAAGUCUUAUGUUUUUUAUUUUCCAAAAGUUACACACCAUCUUUGUAACAGUCAAUAUAAAAAUACAUCCUAAACCCCUCAUCACCUUCUUUCAGGUCCUUACAUACUUUCAUAAGCCGCAACAUUUCCCAAUUCAGUAAUCCAUUCGUCUAAUGCAGGACUUCCCAGAUUCCUCCCAUUCCUGAGAAUAUCUGUUGUCUGAUCAUUACCACAGUUGCCGCUCACUCUCUGUGGGCCAAAGAAAGUCCAGACCCUAACCCUAACCCCUAACCCCGAGGGAGCAUAGCAGUGGGGUGGUGUGGGAGAACUUAGGAAGGUUGAAAGCCAGGCAUGCAGCUGCAUUCUGGAUCAGUUGCAGAGGUCGAGUUGCAGUAGUCCAGUCUCGAAAUGACAAGGGACUGAAUGAGCACCUGUGAAUGGCCUGUGUGGAAAGAAUGGACAAAUCGUUCUGAUGUUAUGAAGGAGAAAUUGACAUGAGUGUGUCAGAUUAACAAUAUGAGAGGAAAAGGACAGUUGAUUGUCCAUGGUUGAGUGUCAUACACAUAGCAGUGCUCUGAAAACCCAUGUGAUGAUCUGACCACACCAAGCGAUCAAGUUUAGACGGAGAACAGAAGAGGACCAAAUACUGAGCCUUGUGGGACACCAGUGGGGAGGCUGCAGAGAGCAGAUGUGGAUCCCCUCCAUGUCACCUGAUAUGACCGACCUUCCAGUGAGAAGCAAAGAAGAGGAAGGCUGAGGUUUGCAAAAGACCAUACGGAUUGGACCGUAGAGGACUGGAGUAAGGUCAUCAUCUCUGAUGAGUCCAGUUUUCAGCUUUGCCCAACACCUUGUUGUCUAAUGGUUAGACAGAGACCUGGAGAGGCCUACAAGCCACAGUGUCUCAUACCCAAUGUGAAAUUUGGUGGAGGAUCAGUGAUGAUCUGGGGGUGUUUCAUCAAAGCUGGAAUAGGGCAGAUUUGUCUUUGUGAAGAACACAUGAAUCAAGCCACAUAUAAGGUUAUCCUGGAAGAAAGCUUACUUCCUUCUACUCUGACAAUGUGCCCCAACUCUGAGGAUUGGUUUUUCCAGCAAGUCAGUGCUCCAUGCCACACAGCCAGGUCAAUCAAGGUAUGGAUGAACCCCAUUGAAAACCUCUGGAAUGUCUCUCAGAGGAUGAUGGAUAGUCACAAGCUGUGAUUGAAAAGUUAUCCCACCAAAUAUUGAUUUCUGAACUCUUUCAAAGUUAAAACAUUAGUAUUAUGUUGUUUAAAGUUGAAUACAAACUUGUUUUCUUUGCAUUAUUUGAGAUCUGAAAACACUGCAUCUUUUUUGUUAUUUUGAACAGUUGUCAUUUUCUGCAAAUACAUUUUCUAAAUGACUAUUUUUAUUUGGAAUUUGGGAGAAAUCUCAGUAGUUUAUGGAAUAAAACAAAACUGGAAAUCCAGAGAAACUCAGAAUUUUGCAGUGGUCUCUUACUUACAACUUGGGAAAAAUUAUCCUUUCCUCAGUGUCCUUAGUGAAAUUUCUGGUAGGGUCAAAAAAAAUAUCCAUACAGCACUCCGGGCCUAGCACUGCACAGGUACCCCCUGUACAUAAUCUAAAGAAAACUGAUUUUACAAAAUCAUCAUCCAUUGUGAUUUGAUCAAGAUUAACCAUGACACCCUAAAAAUCUGCUCCGAAUGGUAUGACUACAGGUAAAACACUCAACACACAGGUUUGGGUUGUUUGAUGAUGCAACUGCUAAGGGGAUAUACUAAGGGGAUGUCUCUUAUUGUUAAAGUUAAUAAGGAUUUGAUAACCCACAGGACACUUUACCCCAUUAACAUUAACAUCAAAUGUAAAUGUAGUAAAAUGAUAUGAGUGAUGGUAACAGGUUUUCCUGUUACUCAGGGCUUAAGAAAAGAUUAGGGUCUCAUGGCAGGAAGUAGAUAAAUUAAUAAAUAUCAGCCAUUGAGCUUAGCAGGUAAUUCACUAUAAGCAGUGCUUCCACACAGUCAAUAAGUACCAGAAGGGGCCGGAACCUGACAAAAUUCCUUAAUUGAUAGCCAGUUUAUCCAAGGACCAGUUUUGGAGAUGCAAUCAGCUAUUGAGUGGGCUGUAAACAUUGUUUGGGUUUGAUAGAAAUGAGAAACACUUUUCAAAUGGUAUUUGUUAAGUUCUAUGGUAAAGCUACAUUAUGCCUCUACCUCUACAUAAAGAGGUCAUUACAGAAGGAAGACUGCAAGCAGCUUUACCUGCAGCAUCAGCCAUAGCAUUACCUCGAGCUUCAUCAGUGUCAGGGGGGCAAUGGGCCUUAAUCUUAACCAGACAUGUUGGACAAUGUGUGAAUCUGUAUAAAUCAUAGCACAACUGGUGGCUAGGAUGUAGGCAUUAAUCAAAGCCACAAGUUCAGCAGCUUGGGCUGAGAGAUGAUCAGGGAGACAUCUCUGAGCUAUCACUGUGUGUGAUGAGCAAACAGCCCAUCCAGCACACCUGCAUCUGUUCAGUACUGAAUCGUCUGUAAAUAAAAUCAUGUCUGGAUUUUCCAGUGGAAUCUCAGAAAUGCUCGAAAGCGGUGAGUGUGAAAGCAUCACACAGUCAUGAUCACUCAAUAUUUAUAUUUUAUUGAAAAUAAAAUCAGUGCCUAGAAUAGGACGGAUGGCAAGUGACGUAAGACCAAAACAAAAACAAACAGGUUCAGUUCUGUAAGUGUUAGAAUGAUCCCUAGUCAUACCAGAAAUGACAGUGCUAGUUCUGGUUAGACAAAAUCUCUAGCCAUCUCUAUUGGAAUUAUUGAUACUUGUGCACCAGUGUCAAUCAAAAAACUGCAUUCAUGAUCAUUCACAGUGAGUAUCACAUACAGUCUGUUAUCUUGCUCAUGCAUAAUUGGCUGCAAAUAGGCUUUCACAGCAGACAUAUUUAAAAAGAAUGUGCAGCAAGAGGAUGGGGAGGUUGAAGUAAAGCAUCUGAGUGUUGGGAGGCUGAAUUAUUUGCCCUGCCACCUCUACUGAGAUAGUCCCGCCCAGUGGGUCAGGCUGGGAAGCUCUGGAAGUUGGAGCACACUUCCCACUCAGCUUUCUCGUGUCAGCCUUCUUAUGGCACACACACUCCCAGUGCCCCUGCUUGUGACAAUACCAGCACUCAUCCUGCUGAACUGAGUGUUUACCACAUUAGCCUUUGUUUGUAACAAAUCAGACACAUGCAUUUUCACACUCUCUCUCAUAUUUGGAAAUAACAGCCAAAGGGUUCAAGUUGUAUAAUUGAAUUUUAUUAUGAAUGGGGCCCAGUGAACCUGCUCAAUCUCCGAUAGCUCUUCUCCAUAUCUUCCAAUGUGUACUGGAGGAUAUCCAUCUCGGGUUUAAUAGCUUAGCGGGUUGGUCUCCUAGGACAGUUUCAGUUCCUUAUCGGUGUCCUCCAGGUGUCCACUUUUCUCUAGUUCUGUCAUUCGUGUGACAAGCGCCAGUAAUUUCUCUUCCACUGAUACUGUUGUGAAGCGAAUGUCCUCUAGGCUGAUCAGUUCCUUGGAAAUCUUCCUUAGCGGUGCAUAGAUUUUCGCCAUGUCCAGAGUAACAUGUUGUGGCUUGGGCCUGCUAACCUUGCCAAGGGGUUAGCAAGCCACUUUUUUUUUUUUUUGCUUGCUUUGAUAUCUUCCAUCAACUUUUUUCACAAAAUUUUCAUCAAAAUUUUCACACGUCGUGAAGCUUCGGCUGAUUGUUACAGGUGAAUAAAGAGGGAUCAAUGUAAUCAAUGCUUGUCAGAGCUCUAUGCUUAGGCAGCCAUCUUACUAACCACUUGAAAAAUGGGUGAGUUCAAACAAAAGAUGCCGUGUUAUAAGUUGUCUAGAUGUAAAUAUCAAUAAAUGAAAGCUGAAAUUUUGAUCUGCCGUCUCAUAUUCAUCUUUUGAUCUCAAACCCAAAUGUCUUCAGUGUACAGCAAAAGCAAAAGCCAUUCCAAUACUUGCCAUUACAAUACUUUCAGAGGGGACAGUAUAUCAACUGCCAUGUAGGUUGAUUUUAUGUUCUGGUAGCUAGCUUAUAAUUAUUUGUCUGUGUUGACGAGUGAUAAUGGACUAGAGGGUCAGGUGUGUUCUUUAUUGUGUUUAAGGUGCAAUGAAAUAGUGGCAGUUUUCGUUUCUGUGGGUAGUCUUGUAUUCUGUUUUAUUGCAGAUAUCAGUCAAUUAAUAGUUGCAGUUUUUGUUUGUUCUUUAUUUUAUUUAAUGAGGUUAGCUAGAAACCUCCAGAUUUAGUUUACUUUAUUAAAAGUUUUAUGACUGAGUCUUUGUAGUAGAUACUGAGUUGUUUUUUUUUUUUUUUUUUUUUUUUUGUUUUUUUUUUUAACUUAAAAGUUAAAAUUUCAUUGAAAUUUGAGUUUUCUUAAUUUGUUUUCAGUUCUUUUCUGUAGAGAUUUCUGCUCAUGUUCUUUUGUUAUAGCUACCAAAUUGCGGCUCUUUGAGGAUUAGUCCAUUAAAGUACCAUCUGAGGAUGUUUUUGUAGGUGAUUUCCAGGCCAGGGAGACAGGAGCGCAGUUGCUGAUAGUAAUGAAGUGAUGAUGUAAAGAACUUUUAUACAGGGCUCUACUCAGAAUGAAAAUCAUAGAAGUCACAUGUGGAACCAUCAUUUCAAUUUCCUAUGAUUCCAAAUUUACAACUCUAUGUAGGUUUAAGAUCAUACCCUAAAGGGCUGCAAGAAGUGCCAUUCUACCACCAAAGGCACUAUAAUUAAGGAAUAAUUAUGUUCUGUGAUGGGAUCUCUAGGGUGAACACUGAUACUCGGACACAAGAUGGUACUUAAACCCUGGUAGGUGAUUUGUUUAGCAAUGAGGGUGAAGUGACGUGAGCUUGUAGUGAGGAGGGUGGUGGGAGUGAGAGCAUACCAAAAGAAAUAGCAAUUCCCAUUGGCUGGGGCUAAAUGAGAGACAGAUAUUAUUAUUAUUAUUAUUAUCUGUUUAUUUAUUUAUCCUAGGUAGUUUAUUAUUAUUAUUAUUAUUAUUAUUAUUAUUAUUAUUAUUGUUGUUGUUAUUGUUUAUUAAAUUAACUACUAACUUGAUCUUGGCCCCUGUUGGACAAAUCUGGAAAUGUUUUAAGACAAUUUAUUUAAGUGAAAACCAAUCAAAACUGUAAAAUAAACUUGACAAAGUAAUUACUUUUUGACAUACAUUUUUUAUGGCCAGGUGUUACCCAAAACUAUGAUUAAUCACAUGUUCAUACUGUUUCAACUAUUUCAGUGAACAACUUUUUAUUUGUUCUUGAGUAGGUGUUACAUGCACUAAUAAUGUAACAGUUCUGAUGUUAUAGAAGCUAAAAAUACAAAACAAAAAAAUCAGAAGAAUAAAACUAAAAAUUCUAAAUGAACAAUAAAAAAAGACUUUGCAAGAAUUCCAUAGCUGUUCAUUAAAGAGCAAGUUAUUAAAUGUUAUUAAAAGUUAUUAAAUGUAACUUUAAAAAAAAAAA